This 445-nucleotide ribosomal RNA is filed under the name uncultured bacterium. Its description in RNAcentral is "partial 16S ribosomal RNA". It matches the Rfam family "Bacterial small subunit ribosomal RNA", at positions 354 to 796 of the family's 1533-position model. The record is from RNAcentral.
GUAGGGAAUAUUGGGCAAUGGAUGCAAGUCUGACCCAGCCAUCCCGCGUGUCGGAAGAAGGCCCUCAGGGUUGUAAACGGCUUUUGACGGUGAAGAAUCGACAGGAUGCGUCCUGUUUUGACGGAAGCCGUUGAAUAAGCACCGGCUAACUCCGUGCCAGCAGCCGCGGUAAUACGGAGGGUGCGAGCGUUGUCCGGAUUUAUUGGGUUUAAAGGGUGCGUAGGCUGGAAGGUCAGUCAGCGGUGAAAAGCUGUCGCUUAACGAUAGUCUUGCCGCAGAUACUUCCUUUCUUGGAUGAGGAGGAGGCCACUGGAACGGAUGGUGUAGCGGUGAAAUGCAUAGAUAUCAUCCAGAACACCGAUUGCGAAGGCAGGUGGCUGUACCUUAAUCGACGCUGAUGCACGAAAGCAUGGGGAGCAAACAGGAUUAGAAACCCGUGUAGUCC